UCGUGCUAGAUGGGGAGGUAGCGGUGCCCUGUAACCCGCAAUCCGCUAUAGCGGGGUUGAUGUCUGGCCGAGGGUUUUCGUUUGUGAAACGGUCGGUCGUAAGUGGUGUUGAGGAUCGGGUCCUGCGCGACCAAGCCUCCUGAACCGUGUCAGGUCCGGAAGGAAGCAGCACUAAGGGAAUCGCUUGUGUGUGCCGCAGGGGUGCCUGGUCUGAGCUAACUGCUGCCGAUCCUUCACCAAACGAGAUUCGAAGCCAGAUGCACGG
This 265-nucleotide signal recognition particle RNA is filed under the name Tumebacillus algifaecis. RNAcentral's name for it is "Bacterial large signal recognition particle RNA". It matches the Rfam family "Bacterial large signal recognition particle RNA". Rfam says of the family: The signal recognition particle (SRP) is a universally conserved ribonucleoprotein involved in the co-translational targeting of proteins to membranes. Archaeal SRP consists of a 7S RNA and homologues of the eukaryotic SRP19 and SRP54 proteins. In most bacteria, the SRP consists of a 4.5S RNA and the Ffh protein (a homologue of the eukaryotic SRP54 protein). Lineage: Bacteria; Bacillati; Bacillota; Bacilli; Caryophanales; Alicyclobacillaceae. The record is from Rfam by way of RNAcentral.